CUUUAUCUCAACUUACAAGUAGUAGAUAUAUUGAAGUCCCUAGAAUCAGAAAUACAAGAGGAAAUUGCAGGAGUAGCAAAACUAACGAUAGAAGAAGAAGGAGGUGAGGAACUUAGAAGAAAUUGAGAGAGAAAGAGUGUCCAGUGAUAACAAAAAGUACUCUGCCCUGCACUGCUCCACUCACGAUGCUUUAUGCCUACUGCUUUGCCAAUUUUACCCCUUUUUACGUGAACUUCCCCCUUUCCACACGUAAUCACCAAGUCUUUUAGGAGGAAUGACCUUUCUAGCAGUCUUACGUGGCAGUCCCAUGUGCUCAUCCUGAGUGGCAUCCCAGUCAACAAUCGUCUCAUUCACAACAUUACUCCCUUCCUGGAAAGCAACCUUGUCCUCAAGGUUGGACUUAGGGAGAUCUUCUGUAGUAGGAACACUCAGAUGUAGAGGAGUCACUUGCUGAUCCGGAGUGCCAACACAUUUCUUCAACAUAGAAAUAUGGAAAACAUAAUGGAUUUUUGCAGAUUCAGGCAGUUCCAGGCGAUAAGCAACAGGACCAAUGCGUUUUAACACCUGAUAGGGCCCAAAAUAACGCCUCCCAAGCUUAUGAUCUCGCUGCAAGCGUAGAGUAUUAUGUCUGAAGGGCUUAAGUUUGACAUACACCCAAUCACCCACCUCAAGGAAGGUAUCAGUCCUAGACUUAUCAGCCAACCGCUUCAUGCGAUUCUGAGCCUUCAACAAAUUGUUUUUGAGGAUGUGCAAGACUUCAUCCCGCUGCAACAGAUAGGACUCAACCAGUUCGCUCGCACUACUCCCCAAAAUGUACCUAGCAACAGUAGGAGGUUCACGACCAUAUAGUGCCUGGAAGGGGGUCAUACCAGCUGAAGUGUGAUAUGAAGUAUUAUACCAAAAUUUUGCCCAUGGCAACAUAGCAACCCAUUGGGAAGGCACCUUAGCGACAUAGCAACGCAAAUAUUGUUCCACACAUUUGUUAAGAGCCUCAGAUUGUCCAUCUGUUUGAGGAUGAUAGGUUGUACUCAUGGCUAAAGUGGAUCCUUGCAAGCGAUUAAUCUCUUGCCAAAAAGAAUGCAAGAACCGCGGAUCAUGAUCUGUCACAAUAGAACGAGGAGGGCCAUGGAGCCUAAUAAUACCCACCACAAAGGCCUCAGCUACUGUAUGAGUCGAGAAAGUAGAUGACAAUGGAAUAAAAUGACCGUACUUAGUGAGACGGUCGAUGACUGUCAUGAUCGUGGUCUUUCCCUUUGAGCUCGGAAGACAAGUAAUGAAGUCCAUUGCAAUAUCCUCAAAGACCUGGUUUGGAAUCGACAAUGGUUGUAGUAGCCCAGCAGGAUGUAGGUGAGAAUCUUUCAUUUGCUGACAUAUAUGACACGCAGCCACAAAAGUUUGUACAUCCGUGCGCAUCCGUUUCCAAAAGAAAUUAGAUGACAAACGAUGGAAUGUGCGCGCAACCCCGGCAUGUCCUCCUAUAGCAGUAGCAUGGAACUCAAGUAGUAAUUUAUGACGUAAGGGAGAGUCCGAGGGAAUCACUAUCCUGCCUUUAUAAACUAACAUCCCUUCUUUGAACUGAUAGUCAUCAAAAAUUUUAUCCCCAAGAUUCAAGGCUUGCUGUAUUGCUACUAACUCGGGGUUGGUCUGAUUCAGCUGCUUUAAAUCAGCCUCUAUAGCAAAAGAAUUGACUGAAAUAGUCAUGAGAACAGCCUCUGAAGUACGCGACAAGGCAUCUGCUGCUGUGUUCUAUUUUUCAGGCCUAUACAAGAUACGAAAGUCAUAGCCGACAAGUUUAGUGAGCCAUUUUUGUUGCUCAGGGGUCUGUAUAGUCUAGGUAGUUAAGUUACGCAGUGAUUGUUGAUCAGUAAGGAUAGUGAACUGGCGCCCCAAUAGGUACUGUCUUAGCCACAUCCUCAAUCUUGACCCUUAUUUGAUGGUAACCUGAUAACAAUGUUGUGAAUGAGACGAUUGUUGACUGGGAUGCUACUCAGGAUGAGCACAUGGGACUGCCACGCAAUACCUCGCCCAGAUGCAUCAGUUUCCACCUGAAACUCCUGACUGAAAUUGGGCAAGGCCAGAACAGGGGUAGAGCUUAAUCGAGAUUUUAAAGUGUUGAAAGCAUGUUGCUCAACUGCUGUCCAUUUGAAGGAAUCCUUGCGCAACAGGUCAGUUAAGGGACCUGCAAUAGCUGCAUAAUGGUGAAUAAACCUGCGAUAAUACCCAGCUAGCCCAAGGAAACUACGAACUUCUUUCACUGAUCUUGGUGGCAGCCACUGCCCAAUGGUAUUGAUUUUGUCUGGAUCGACUGAAAGUCCUUGAGCAGAGAUGAUGUGGCCGAGGUAAUCAAUAGAGGACUGACCAAACAAGCAUUUCGAGCGUUUAGCCACAAGUUGAUGUUGCCUCAACAACUGCAAUACCACUGCUAAAUGCUCCAAAUGAUCACUCCAAGAUGCACUAUAGACCAAUAUAUCAUCGAAAAAAACCAGAACAAAGUGACGCAUAUGUGGACGAAAAAUCUCAGUCAUAGUAGCUUGAAAUGUCGAAGGGGCAUUAGUCAAUCCAAACGGCAUCACUAAAAAUUCAUAAUGACCGUCAUGAGUACGGAAGGCUGUCUUAGCCACAUCCUCAAUCUUGACCCUUAUUUGAUGGUAACCUGAUAACAAGUCCAACUUUGAAAAGACUUGAGCACCAUGUAAUUCGUCAAACAACUCAUCAAUGGUUGGAAUAGGGAAGCGAUCUCGAACUGUGAUGGCAUUGAGUGCUCGAUAAUCAACACAAAAGCGCCAUGUGCCAUCCUUCUUACGGACUAAUAACACCGGUGAUGAAAAUGGACUGGUGCUGGGCCGUAUAAUUCCAUCUUUAAGCAUAUCUUUCACCAUCUGCUCCAUGACCUGCUUUUGGAAGUGCGGGUACCUAUAUGGUUUAACAUUCACUGGUUGUGCCCCUGGGACGAGGUGUAUCGAAUGAUCCUGAACACGAGAAGGUGGCAAUCUUAUGGGUUUCCAAAAUACAUCAUGAUACGACUCCAAUAGACCACUCAAAUCUGUGGUCAUUUCACCUGCACAACUCCCUUCAGGAGUAAUCAUUGCCAAAAAAAAAACGAAGCAAUAGCAUCAGUCGUUGUCAUACGCCUUAAACUAUGCAACUGAAUUUGGUGAGCAUCAGUGGGUGAAUCCCCCUGCCAUAACCACUUAGACCCAUGUAAAGUAAAUUCAAAUUCUCUUGUUGCAUAAUCAGUUAUAACACGCCCCAACGUAGCCAACCAUGUCACUCCAAGGACUACAUCAGCACCUUGGAAAGGUAAGACAUAAAGGUCCUCGACUAUAGUACACCCUUGAAUCAAUACGGUGACUUGCUUCACCACACCUUCACACGAGAGCCUUUGUCCACUGCCCACCAUAACUGCAAAACGGGGAAUGACCUCAACUUUGAGCUGAAGUUGUUUGGCCGCACGUGGUUGCACAAAAUUGUGAGUACUUCCGCCAUCCACUAAAACUUGGACUGGUGACCCAUUUACCUUUCCAGUGAAUCGUAAUGUGGAGGGUGAAAUUCCCCAGAUAAAGCAUGAUAAGAAAUAGAUGAUUGCUCCUGUAAUUCUAAACCUUGUGAUUCCUCCACUAAGAAAUCCUCAUCGACAAACGGUUCUGGCAAGUUAGGGUCCAAAUCGGAUCCAUCAGUGAGCAACAUAAGUUGUGGGGGUUUCUUACACUUGUGUCCCGAUGAGUACUUCUCCUCACAAUAAUAACAUAAUCCUCGCUCACGGCGGCUCUGGAGCUCUGCAUGAGUGAGCCUUCUAAGAAGAGUACGAUUUGAAGAGGAAGGUGAGGCACUGUAAGGUGUUAAAGAAGAAGAGGGAUUUUGAUUUAGGGUUGCAGAAUUUGGGGUAGGCAAAAUGGAAGUUGAUCUGGCAAAAGCUGGCCUAACGGGUCCUUUCUCCGCUUGGAUCCGUCGCUCAUGUAUAUGAGCUAAAUUAAGUGUCUCUUCGUAACUCUUAGGCUUAUGGACCAAAACAGAGUUCUUAAUAUCUUCACGAAGCCCAGAAAUAAAGAGACGUACCAUUCGGUUAUCAUCCAUGUCGUCAGUCUCGUUUGCAAUGAUCUCAAAUCUGGACUGAAAAUCGGCGACAGUGGUCAUCUGUCGGAGCUUCGCUAAACGUCCCUCGGCGGACUCCAAUCCCUUUUUAUGGAAACGGAUCCUCACCUUCGAAGCAAAGUGCUCCCAAUCCACCAGUUGUUUAUUCCGAAAAAGCCACCGAUACCAUUCCAAUGCAUCCCCGUCCAGAUAGAAAGAAGCAAGUGACAAAUGCUGGUCUUCUGCAAUCUUGUAAAAUUCAAAAUAUCGUUCUGCCUGAAAGAUCCAAGCCUCCGGAUUCUCUCCACAGAAACGUCCAAACUCCACCGAAGCUGGCCUGUGACGGAGGUUAGGGGCUGUCGGAAAACGGUCAUCAUGUGAGUCCCUCUCUGGGCGCUGGGUUUUGCUUCCUACCACUUCUAGUAACAAAGAGCGAAUAUCUGCGAGAAUGGAGUCCUUCAUACCCUGAACUGAUUCUUCAACAAGUGACUUGAGUCUUUGGUCAUCCAUGGAAGACCUCUGGAUGAAAGCACCAAUGUAACAAAUUGACACAGUGAAACACCAACUACACUUAUACUAAUACCCUUUAUCUCAACUUACAAGUAGUAGAUAUAUUGAAGUCCCUAGAAUCAGAAAUACAAGAGGAAAUUGCAGGAGUAGCAAAACUAACGAUAGAAGAAGAAGGAGGUGAGGAACUUAGAAGAAAUUGAGAGAGAAAGAGUGUCCAGUGAUAACAAAAAGUACUCUGCCCUGCACUGCUCCACUCACGAUGCUUUAUGCCUACUGCUUGCCAAUUUACCCCUUUUUACGUGAACUUCCCCCUUUCCACACGUAAUCACCAAGUCUUUUAGGAGGAAUGACCUUUCUAGCAGUCUUACGUGGCAGUCCCAUGUGCUCAUCCUGAGUG
RNAcentral lists this long non-coding RNA (4978 nucleotides) under Solanum tuberosum (potato). RNAcentral describes it as "long non-coding RNA (STUB_LNC001982)". The record is from RNAcentral. Lineage: Eukaryota; Viridiplantae; Streptophyta; Magnoliopsida; Solanales; Solanaceae.